RNAcentral lists this ribosomal RNA (440 nucleotides) under uncultured bacterium. Its description in RNAcentral is "bacterial SSU rRNA". It matches the Rfam family "Bacterial small subunit ribosomal RNA", at positions 73 to 507 of the family's 1533-position model. The record is from RNAcentral.
UAGGUAGCAAUACUGAGGUGGCGACCGGCGCACGGGUGAGUAACGCGUAUCCAACCUGCCCUUCAUAGUUGGGAUAGCCUUCCGAAAGGGAGAUUAAUACCGAAUAACAUGAGAAGUUUGCAUGAAUCUCUCAUGAAAGCUCCGGCGAUGAAGGAUGGGGAUGCGUUCCAUUAGGUAGUAGGCGGGGUAACGGCCCACCUAGCCUACGAUGGAUAGGGGGUUCUGAGAGGAAGGUCCCCCACACUGGUACUGAGAUACGGACCAGACUCCUACGGGAGGCAGCAGUGAGGAAUAUUGGUCAAUGGUCGGAAGACUGAACCAGCCAUGCCGCGUGCAGGAAGAAUGUCUUAUGGAUUGUAAACUGCUUUUGUAUGGGAAUAAUAAUAGCUUUGCGAAGUUAGAUGCAUGUACCAUACGAAUAAGGAUCGGCUAACUCCGUG